GAUGAACGCUGGCGGCGUGCCUAAUACAUGCAAGUCGAGCGAACAGACGAGGAGCUUGCUCCUCUGACGUUAGCGGCGGACGGGUGAGUAACACGUGGAUAACCUACCUAUAAAACGGGGAUAACUUCGGGAACCCGGAGCUAAUCCCGGAAAAUAUAUUAACCGCCAGGGUUCAAAAGUGAAAGAGGGUUUUGCUGUCACUUAUGGAUGGAUCCGCGCCGCAUUAGCUAGUUGGUAAGGUAACGGCUUACCAAGGCAACGAUGCGUAGCCGACCUGAGAGGGUGAUCGGCCACACUGGAACUGAGACACGGUCCAGACUCCUACGGGAGGCAGCAGUAGGGAAUCUUCCGCAAUGGGCGAAAGCCUGACGGAGCAACGCCGCGUGAGUGAUGAAGGUCUUCGGAUCGUAAAACUCUGUUAUUAGGGAAGAACAAAUGUGUAAGUAACUAUGCACGUCUUGACGGUACCUAAUCAGAAAGCCACGGCUAACUACGUG
This 497-nucleotide ribosomal RNA is filed under the name uncultured bacterium. Its description in RNAcentral is "partial 16S ribosomal RNA". It matches the Rfam family "Bacterial small subunit ribosomal RNA", at positions 28 to 507 of the family's 1533-position model. The record is from RNAcentral.